GACAGAGGGGGCAAGCGUUGCUCGGAAUUACUGGGCGUAAAGGGCGCGUAGGCGGCUCGUUGCGUCGGCUGUGAAAACCCGCAGCUCAACUGUGGGCUUGCAGCCGAUACGGGCGGGCUGGGAUUCGGUAGGGGAGACUGGAAUUCCUGGUGUAGCGGUGAAAUGCGCAGAUAUCAGGAGGAACACCGGUGGCGAAGGCGGGUCUCUGGGCCGAUAUCGACGCUGAGGAGCGAAAGCGUGGGGAGCGAACAGG
This 253-nucleotide ribosomal RNA is filed under the name uncultured bacterium. Its description in RNAcentral is "partial 16S ribosomal RNA". It matches the Rfam family "Bacterial small subunit ribosomal RNA", at positions 524 to 776 of the family's 1533-position model. The record is from RNAcentral.